RNAcentral lists this ribosomal RNA (888 nucleotides) under Gilpinia sp. Sus8. Its description in RNAcentral is "SSU rRNA". It matches the Rfam family "Eukaryotic small subunit ribosomal RNA", at positions 594 to 1420 of the family's 1831-position model. The record is from RNAcentral. Lineage: Eukaryota; Metazoa; Arthropoda; Insecta; Hymenoptera; Diprionidae.
AUAGCGUAUAUUAAAGUUGUUGCGGUUAAAAAGCUCGUAGUUGAAUCUGUGUCCCACGCUGUCGGUUCACCGCUCGCGGUGUCUAACUGGCAUGAUUGUGGGACGUCCUACCGGUGGGCUUAGCCCCUCGGGGCGGCCCAACUAAUAUCCCAUCGCGGUGCUCUUCACUGAGUGUCGAGGUGGGCCGGUACGUUUACUUUGAACAAAUUAGAGUGCUUAAAGCAGGCUAUUUUCGCCUGAAUACUGUGUGCAUGGAAUAAUGGAAUAGGACCUCGGUUCUAUUUUGUUGGUUUUCGGAACCCCGAGGUAAUGAUUAAUAGGAACAGAUGGGGGCAUUCGUAUUGCGACGUUAGAGGUGAAAUUCUUGGAUCGUCGCAAGACGGACAGAAGCGAAAGCAUUUGCCAAAAAUGUUUUCUUUAAUCAAGAACGAAAGUUAGAGGUUCGAAGGCGAUCAGAUACCGCCCUAGUUCUAACCAUAAACGAUGCCAGCUAGCGAUCCGCCGAAGUUCCUCCGAUGACUCGGCGGGCAGCUUCCGGGAAACCAAAGCUUUUGGGUUCCGGGGGAAGUAUGGUUGCAAAGCUGAAACUUAAAGGAAUUGACGGAAGGGCACCACCAGGAGUGGAGCCUGCGGCUUAAUUUGACUCAACACGGGAAACCUCACCAGGCCCGGACACCGGAAGGAUUGACAGAUUGAGAGCUCUUUCUUGAUUCGGUGGGUGGUGGUGCAUGGCCGUUCUUAGUUGGUGGAGCGAUUUGUCUGGUUAAUUCCGAUAACGAACGAGACUCUAGCCUGCUAAAUAGGCGUACUUCCCGGUAUCUCGAAGGCCCCCGGCUUCGGUCGGGCGGUUUUUACUACCGGCGUACAAAUAAAUCUUCUUAGAGGGAC